GCUUGUAUGGCAAACUUGUGGAUAAUCACUCUCCUCAGGGAAGAUAAGCAUAGCUCCUGAACAAGGCUGACAAGCAAAAUCGUCAAGCGUUUCAUAUUUUU
RNAcentral lists this small nuclear RNA (101 nucleotides) under Echinostoma caproni. Lineage: Eukaryota; Metazoa; Platyhelminthes; Trematoda; Plagiorchiida; Echinostomatidae. The record is from RNAcentral.